CCAAUGAAACAGGAGGCCUCGAUUCGUGCAGAAGAUAAGGUUUGAAACCCAGACAGCACGAAGCAUCUUGCCGACGUCAAAAUCAGAUCAACAGACAGGGACAUCAGCCUUCUCUUGGGAAUAGGCCAGAUAUGCCAGAACAAGAAAUGUCUAUAUCUUGGACUGAAAAAGGAUGCUUUGCCCCUGCGGUUGUGAAGAGGAUGCUGUGGAGGUGGCAGCAUGAACGUGUCACACAGACAUUGGCUAAACUACUCGGCUUCUACACUUGCCCUCAGAGUUCACAUAUGGUGAAGUGCACAGGUGUCCAGUCAGGUUCAGACUGAUGCUGGUAACAAGAGGAAAACAUGCUAAUUGGUAAGUGAGAUCCCUGCUCAACAAAAAUCCACACAGCACAACAAGUAAGCCUAGUUUGUGGUAUCAAAUGUAAAAUGGAAGUUUCAUCAAAAAGUUGUAGAACACAUCUGAAUAAAUUGCAGGCCAUCAAAGUUGUGAAUGGGCAGGGAAAACACAACCAGUAGGCUUAUGAAUUACUUUGACUCAGCACAGCACAGCAGAUGCGAUGCUACCAUUCCUUGGGAAUAUGACACAGAGGUCUACUAUUCCAUUGUAAAUAUUGACUGGAAAUGUUCAUGUUUCAACUGUUUUAAAAACAUUGGACUCAGGGGAAAAAAUCUCUAGGUGUAUAUAAGUGAAAGCCCACCUUUGCCAUUGUGACACAGCACACAAGUAUACACUGCACACAACGAAAUUGCAUUUUAUGCCUCACCUGUGCAAGGGUGCAGCCUACAUUGGCAUCCCAAGGGAGCAGUAUGUUGCAGUGUGGCGGGAAGGUACCAUACUUGGGGUACCUCAGUCAUGGAGGAUGGUGGAGAGAGCACUGGUUAAUUACUCCCUCCACCAACCUGGCGGGCUGGGAGAUGAACCAGCAACCUUUGGGUUGUUCAGCCCUGGGCUACAGGACACCCUAACCGCUUACCAAUGACUGCCCCACUUAUCCUUGACUGUAUAAAAAAUACCACAGAGUAGCGAGUACACUUUUAAAUUAAAAGGGUCAAUAUAGAUGAUAGACUUUUCAUCCACAGGCAGGUAAGGCCUAUAUUGAAGGCAGCCAGCUUCAAAACAGACCCCACCUUCUCUUUGUCACCUGAAUAUAACUUAAUUGUAUUGCAAAUGUCAUUCCUAAGAUUCAUUUACAAAAUGUGUUUUAUUUCAUGUGAAGCUGCAUAACAUUGAAAUUAUGUCGGGGGGCCCGGUGAAACGGCCCUUGAGACAUAGGUUCCCCACCCCUGCUGUAGGAAGAGCCUGUAGACGGUGACACUUCAGACAUUUGACUUUCUAGCUCUUGUCACAGGUCAGUCCAUGAGCCCACGUCUUCAGGUCAUGGGCCUGAGAAGAAUCUACCGUUACAGGGGUCAGAAGAGAUCCUCAAACUAUGCUGACAUUACUACCCCUGUACUUCAACCCCUCUGCUGCCACUGGGUCCUCAACGAGAAAAUAAACUGAUUCCCCCCCCCAAUCCAUUCCUUUUUCCACCGUCACAUCACACCAUGCCUAUGCACAUUAACACCACCAAUGAGCCUAGAAAACUAGGACAACAGUGAGGAUGAAUUUAGAAACCGCUUCCACGUAUUGUACUAUUUCUGAAAAAGCAUUGGUAUUGGCCUUCUAUCUCCACGUAGCCAUAUCAAAAAACCUGCCUAAAAAAAAAUCAAUUUUGUCGUGUUUCCGCUUAAAAAGGAAUUUAGAAACCGCUUCCACGUAUUGUACUAUUUCUGAAAAAGCAUUGGUAUUGGCCUUCUAUCUCCAUGUAGCCAUAUCAAAAAACCUGCCUCAAAAAAAAAACUAUUUUGUCGUGUUUCCGCUUAAAAAGGAGAACAAAAUAUCCACAUGUAAAAUUAUCCUGCUACGUGGAAAUGGCACCUUACUAAAUAAAUAACAACUGCAUAGUUAUUCUGUUCAAUUUAUGAGUAACUAUGUAAAUUAUGAU
Engraulis encrasicolus (European anchovy) is the source of this 1987-nucleotide long non-coding RNA. RefSeq lists it as uncharacterized. The transcript has 5 exons. The record is from RefSeq and is a predicted model, not a curated record. Lineage: Eukaryota; Metazoa; Chordata; Actinopteri; Clupeiformes; Engraulidae.